Molecule: non-coding RNA, 106 nt
Organism: Podarcis lilfordi (Lilford's wall lizard)
Lineage: Eukaryota; Metazoa; Chordata; Lepidosauria; Squamata; Lacertidae
Source: the annotation of a GenBank genome assembly
GAUCUCUUAGCAUUGGAGAACAUGGGCACCAAAAAGUCUGUACCUCAUUGCUCUUUGGUCUAGGUCCAGACUUUUUGGUGCCCAUGUUCUCCAAUGCUGAGAGAUG